UAAAACAUGUUGAACAGUGUAUCUUUUCAUGAAGAGAGGUACAUGUUUUUAAUGAAGUUUGUUCCUUUUCAGUGUAUCUGAAGCUAAGCUUCCAAAGUAUCCACAGAAGACUGAAGCAUUGCAUGUACAUUUGCAGGUUGGAAUCUGAGAGGUCCCCAUCCCAGAUGAGGAAAGAGGAUUUCCUGCCCAUUGGGGGAGAAGAUCUCAGUGAGGAUCCAUCAUUUAUUUGGAAUAAUCUUUGCUGAUUGAUUGUUUUUUAAGCUUUACAUUUUAAUUUUGGAGGACUCAUGUUCUUUUCUUUGCACACAUUUGAGCAGAAGGCCGGAAAAAGUAUCCAGGAUUUCAAUGGACAAUGGGGACAUGAGUUUGCUUGCAACAGCUGAACAUGACUGAUAGAUUCCAUUUUGCAAACAGUGACAGCCCUCCCAUUUAGUAUUGGUCAUCCAUCUGCUUUCGAUGCAAUUUUCGGACAUGGUAACAACAUUUUCCACUUCAAAGGUCUUUGGUUUGCAGUGCAAUAAUGCUUAAUUCAAGUUUAUAGGUUGAGUUGAAAAUAAUCUGGAAACUCACAUAAAUAACACU
Molecule: long non-coding RNA, 582 nt
Organism: Panicum virgatum (switchgrass)
Lineage: Eukaryota; Viridiplantae; Streptophyta; Magnoliopsida; Poales; Poaceae
Exons: 4
Source: RefSeq, a predicted model, not a curated record